UUGGACCUGGUCAGUGGGACUCAAAAUUCUGGGAAAGGCUUCCAGGAGCUGGGGUGCUGGAGAGAUGGUGGUCUCAGGGCCUGGUCCUCUGAGAUCACUUGGGAUCCUGCCCUAUCUGCAGGAAAGUGAGAUCCUGGAGUCUCUCAGGGAGCCUGGGGCCCCGGAGAAACCUGUCUGACUGCUUCCCUGCCCCACCUGGUUUCCUGCCCAGCGCCUGGGGUGUAGCUGCCUCACCUCUGCAGCCUUCCCCAGGGGGCCCAGUGGAUGGGGGUGAGUCUGUGAGACCCCAGAAGCUACUGGAGGCCCUGAGUGCCUUCUCCUGCUCUGGGGGUGUCAGGCAAGGGCAGCCAGAAGAGGGAGCCCAGGGCUGGGUUGGGGCAUCUGCCCCUUUACUGCCCCUCCCCACCCCCCAGGUUCACCUCACUCUGGGCUGGAGGUCAGAGAUCCAAGCCCAGGACUCACACACAGGCAUCCCAUCCUGGGCAGUCCCUCCCUGGGAUUGGUCCUUUCUGCCUCCCACCCUACCUCCUCCACAGCCCACUGGGGCCCUUGGUGCUGUGGUGGGGUAGGGGGUGAUGGACAGGGCAGGAGGAGAGGCUGAAGAUGGGGACUGGUCCAGGUGAUGGGAUGCUCCACCAGGGCCAGCUAAUUUCCUGCCUCUCUUUUGUGUCCCCUCAGCCACCAAUGACCUGAUCGAACAACCCAUCAAAGUGACCAAGUAGCAACAGAUGUACACCUAUGACUCGGGCAUCCACUCGGGGGCCAACACCUGCGUGCCCUCAGUCAGCAGCAAGGGCAUCGUGGAGGAGGACGAGGCCUGCGGGCACCAGUACACGCUCAAGAAGACCACCAUCUGCACCCAGGCGGUGCCCCAGAGCCAAGGUCGGGGUUCCUGGGGACUCUUCUGUGGGAAUAUUCCAGCAGAAGGCCAGGCUGGGCCUGGAAGGAGUCAGCGUCAAAAGAGACAGACUUUAAGGGGCUCCCAGACUGAGCAGGGAGGCGCAGCGACUUCCAGGCGCCCCCAUCUGGGAGGGAGGCAGAUUACACUUCCAUGAAUGUAUUGUGUGAAGAGGAGGCAUAGACCCUCUCCUCCAUGCCUAGAGUAAAGCAGGGGGAGUGAUGGGUGACAGUGUUACACAAGAGGAAGUCAAGGAAGGCCUCUCUGAGGAGGUGACACUGAGCAGUGCUGAAUGGAGUAAAGGACCUGGUCCUCCAAACAUCUUGGGGAAGAGUAUUCCAGGCAGAGGAAACAGCCUGUGUAAAGGCUUCAUCCUACUCCAUGGUAGAGAAAUCUCCCUUCUGCCCAGAAUUUGUGCACAUCUCUCUCACAGCACUCUCUCCUUUCAUCUUGCUUUGUGGGCUUUUUAGGCACAUAUCUUCAUUCUUAUCCUAUAGGUGCCUUGAAGGCAGCAUCUGCAUUUGAUCCAGCUCAAUGUCUCUCCCUGGGCUUUGCACAGUUUCUGGCACACACUAGGUGGUCGUUAAGGGCAGAAAGCACGGCUGGACAGAUGGACGGAUAGGCUGUUUUGCUGGUGGGUGGAUGGAUGCACUGAAGGAUGAGAGGAGAAGAUAAUGGGUGUUUGUAGCCCGCAAGCCCCAUCCAGCCUGUCAGGCCUUGCUCCUUUCCUCUGAUUCCUGGCCUCCCUUUCUCCUGCAUCUCCCUUCUCCCUCAGCUUAGUCCCCUCUAAAAACCCCCUUCUCCCUAUUCUAAGGGCUGUGCCUGGCUUUCAUAGAAAGUGACUUCAACAUAACAAAGGCAAAUGAAAAUACAGAUGGCAGCUUUGACUAUGGCAUCUUCCAGAUCAACAGCCAUGACUGGUGCAGAAAUUACCAGAGUCACACGGAAAACCCUUGUCACGUGGACUGUCAAGUUCUGGCUGGGGCCCCGGGGUGGGAGAGGACUGCUGAGCCCCAACCUUCACUCAAUCAUCAACUGUGCAAAAAAGCUUGUGUCUGGAGCAGGGGGCAUGAAGAACUGGGUAAAAUGCAGGCUGCACUGUGCAGGCCGGCCACUCUCCUGCUGGAGGACAGGAUGCCACCUGGGAUGAGGCAGGGGACAGGCCUGUGGUGGAGUCACUCCAGAAUUCCUCUCCUCACUUUGAAAUUCUUCAUUUCUUCUUCCUCUUGCCUCCACUUCCUGUUAUUUUCUUCCCUUCCAUUUACAAAUAAAACUGACCAGAGCCCCAGAAGUAGAUGAUGUUCUAGGACUUCCUCCUUGUUCCCAUCUAGGCCCAGGCCUCUGGU
Non-coding RNA from Vicugna pacos (alpaca), 2244 nucleotides. The record is from RefSeq and is a predicted model, not a curated record. NCBI's taxonomy places the organism in Eukaryota, Metazoa, Chordata, Mammalia, Artiodactyla, Camelidae.